GUAUUGGUGAUUUAGUGGUAGAAUUCUCGCCUUCCAUGUGGAAGACCUGGGUUCAAUCCCCAGCCCGUGCA
This 71-nucleotide transfer RNA is filed under the name Loxodonta africana (African savanna elephant). It matches the Rfam family "tRNA". Rfam says of the family: Transfer RNA (tRNA) molecules are approximately 80 nucleotides in length. The record is from Rfam by way of RNAcentral. Lineage: Eukaryota; Metazoa; Chordata; Mammalia; Proboscidea; Elephantidae.